UGGGGAAUAUUGGACAAUGGGCGCAAGCCUGAUCCAGCCAUGCCGCGUGAGUGAUGAAGGCCCUAGGGUUGUAAAGCUCUUUCACCGGUGAAGAUAAUGACGGUAACCGGAGAAGAAGCCCCGGCUAACUUCGUGCCAGCAGCCGCGGUAAUACGAAGGGGGCUAGCGUUGUUCGGAUUUACUGGGCGUAAAGCGCACGUAGGCGGACUUUUAAGUCAGGGGUGAAAUCCCGGGGCUCAACCCCGGAACUGCCUUUGAUACUGGAAGUCUUGAGUAUGGUAGAGGUGAGUGGAAUUCCGAGUGUAGAGGUGAAAUUCGUAGAUAUUCGGAGAGACACCAGUGGCGAAGGCGGCUCACUGGACCAUUACUGACGCUGAGGUGCGAAAGUGUGGGGAGCAAACAGG
This 404-nucleotide ribosomal RNA is filed under the name Actinomycetes bacterium. RNAcentral describes it as "Actinobacteria bacterium partial 16S ribosomal RNA". It matches the Rfam family "Bacterial small subunit ribosomal RNA", at positions 355 to 776 of the family's 1533-position model. The record is from RNAcentral. Lineage: Bacteria; Bacillati; Actinomycetota; Actinomycetes.